AUGAUAAAACGCAGGAGAUCUAAUCACUCAAAAUGUAGUAGAAAAUUAACUUCCGUUGGAGCAAUGGCUGGAGGGCUGAUUAAGCUGUGGAAUGAGUGGGCAACCCAAAUCCUCGUACUACUCAGCUUUGCACUACAGAUUUUCCUCUUUCUCUUCGCUAGGACUCGUCGGCGUGGACCCUCCGCCGUGCUGAAGAUUCUCCUCUGGCUGGCAUACCUCAUGGUCGAUUCAACCGCUGUCUACACCCUUGGGCAUCUUUCCAUCAGUGGCUCGUUGCACGAGCAUGAGUUGGUGGUGUUCUGGGCGCCCUUCCUUCUUGUGCAUCUGGGUAGCCAGGACACCAUCACUGCCUAUGCUCUCGAGGACAACAAGCUCUGGCCACGCCACCUGCUAAAUCUUUGUGUCCAAGCCUUUGGGGUUGCUUAUGUCCUCUAUAAGCAUAUCGCCGAGAUCCCCACCUUGUUGGGAUUGGCUACCAGCUUGAUGUUUGGCGUCGGUCUCAGCAAGUACGGGGAGAGGAUAUGGGCACUCAAGUGCGCCACCCUGGACAGCAUCCGGAGCUCCAUCAGAAAACCUCAUGCUCUCCCUACUUACUCCGAUGAGCUUCAUCCCCGGGUACCAAGAAGGGCAAAAGAGCGCGAUGAAGAAGAGCUCCUUCUGUUUUCUCAUGACAUGCUCCCCCUUUGCAAGGGCGCUAUGGCUGAUUCUCCUGUGGCUUUGUUUAGGUUCCAAAUUGCAACUGGUGCGAUCUCAUCCAAAUUUUAUAUACCGAGUUGGAAAUGGAAAACUACUCUCAGGGUGGUGGAGAUGGAGUUGUCCCUGAUGUAUGAUGUUAUCUACACCAAGGCAGCGGUGAUCCACACUUGGUAUGGCUACCUGUUUCGUCUGGUUUCGCCCCUGGCAACUGUUGGUGCAUCCAUACUUUUUCAGUUAAGUGGCAAUAAAAAUGGUUACAGCAGAGUCGAUGUUGCCAUCACUUACAUCUUGUUGGUUGGUGCCUUCCUGCUGGAUAUGGCGUCAGUAUUCAGUACUUUGGGGUCGACCUGGACAUGUAAUUUCUUGUGGAGAAGAGGUUGGACCAAGCUUGGUAAUGUCAUUAUGUCCCUCCGCCGGCUUGUCAAGGCUGCGGCAGGCAAUAGAGGGUGGUCAGGCUCCAUUGGGCAGUUUAACUUGCUGCAUUUCUGCUCCCGUGACACAACAAAGCUAAUCAGCAGAGUGACCAAGAUGAUAGGGCUCGAGGAUUGUUGGAACAAAAUUCACUACUCUGAGACCCUAGUGAUUUCAGAGGAUGUCAAGGAGUUGGUGUUCCAAAGUGUGUGGCAAGUAGUGAAGGAGAUUCAUGACCCCGGAGUAAAGGAUGAGAUUCAGUCCCCACGCUAUGCGGGGGGGCAUAUGAUGCCAUGCGGCGAGAUAUACAAUUUGAGCUUUCAUCCCGAAUCAUUCGAAGAUACUAACAGGAGGCGUAUGCAAUUAUCCGAAGCUCUGGGCUUCGGUGCUGAACUCCAAGAAAUUAUCCUUACUUGGCAUGUCUUUACAGAUGUUUUCCUCUUGUGCAGCGGCACCCCCAAGAACAAGGAUGCAGCAUAUGGGAAGGCGAUCAAGGCAUUGUCAAAUUACAUGGUUUUUCUCAUUGCUAUACGCCCUGACACGAUACCCGGUCUCGAGCUACGCAGCCUAUAUGAAGCAACUCGCGAUUCAUUGGAUGAAGUAUGGAAUACGUGUGCUUAUGUAUUUGAACCCAGAUUUACCCCUCCCCCAGAAAAAAAAAGAGAGGGGAAACUUGCCCACGUCCUGCAAGGAGAUCUGGGCUGUAGGAUAGAUGGAAAGCCAAGCAUCAUUCUCCGGCGUGGAGUAAAAUAUGCCAAUCUGCUUCUCGAGCUGGUAGAUACACGGAAUCCUGACAAGUCGGGCAUCAUAUCUCGUCAUGAAGGUAUUGAUCGUGCUGGCAUGGAAAAACUGAAGGGGCGGUUGAUGCCAGAUCUGGAAUCCUCCUGCCGAGGUGGUGUGCUCGAUAUGACCAAAGCAUUGGCGCUCAUCCUGGAUGCAUGGGUGCGUCUGCUCAUCUUUGCGUCUGUCCGAUACAACAGAGAUGCCCAUGCCAGACAGAUGAACUGUGGUGGUGAGCUCACCACGGUCGUCUGGCUCAUGGAGCAACAUGCUGCCAUGUUUUUCAAGCCAUCUGCCGAAGAGGAGCAUAUCCGUUCACCAGAAGAUUCAGAAAAUGAGGAAAUUGAACUUGGAGGCGGACCUCACAUGGUCUAG
This 2262-nucleotide ribosomal RNA is filed under the name Triticum aestivum (bread wheat). Its description in RNAcentral is "partial small subunit ribosomal RNA". The record is from RNAcentral. Lineage: Eukaryota; Viridiplantae; Streptophyta; Magnoliopsida; Poales; Poaceae.